AUUGAACGCUGGCGGCAGGCUUAACACAUGCAAGUCGAACGAUGAUUAUCUAGCUUGCUAGAUAUGAUUAGUGGCGGACGGGUGAGUAACAUUUAGGAAUCUGCCUAGUAGUGGGGGAUAGCUCGGGGAAACUCGAAUUAAUACCGCAUACGACCUACGGGUGAAAGGGGGCGCAAGCUCUUGCUAUUAGAUGAGCCUAAAUCAGAUUAGCUAGUUGGUGGGGGAAAGGCCCACCAAGGCAACGAUCUGUAACUGGUCUGAGAGGAUGAUCAGUCACACCGGAACUGAGACACGGUCCGGACUCCUACGGGAGGCAGCAGUGGGGAAUAUUGGACAAUGGGGGCAACCCUGAUCCAGCCAUGCCGCGCGUGUGAAGAAGGCCUUUUGGUUGUAAAGCACUUUAAGCAGGGAGGAGAGGCUAAUGGUUAAUACCCAUUAGAUUAGACGUUACCUGCAGAAUAAGCACCGGCUAACUCUGUGCCAGCAGCCGCGGUAAUACAGAGGGUGCGAGCGUUAAUCGGAAUUACUGGGCGUAAAGCGAGUGUAGGUGGCUCAUUAAGUCACAUGUGAAAUCCCCGGGCUUAACCUGGGAACUGCAUGUGAUACUGGUGGUGCUAGAAUAUGUGAGGGGGAAGUAGAAUUCCAGGUGUAGCGGUGAAAUGCGUAGAGAUCUGGAGGAAUACCGAUGGCGAAGGCAGCUUCCUGGCAUAAUAUUGACACUGAGAUUCGAAAGCGUGGGUAGCAAACAGGAUUAGAUACCCUGGUAGUCCACGCCGUAAACGAUGUCUACUAGCCGUUGGGGUCCUUGAGACUUUAGUGGCGCAGUUAACGCGAUAAGUAGACCGCCUGGGGAGUACGGCCGCAAGGUUAAAACUCAAAUGAAUUGACGGGGGCCCGCACAAGCGGUGGAGCAUGUGGUUUAAUUCGAUGCAACGCGAAGAACCUUACCUGGUCUUGACAUAGUGAGAAUCCUGCAGAGAUGCGGGAGUGCCUUCGGGAAUCCACAUACAGGUGCUGCAUGGCUGUCGUCAGCUCGUGUCGUGAGAUGUUGGGUUAAGUCCCGCAACGAGCGCAACCCUUUUCCUUAUUUGCCAGCGGGUUAAGCCGGGAACUUUAAGGAUACUGCCAGUGACAAACUGGAGGAAGGCGGGGACGACGUCAAGUCAUCAUGGCCCUUACGACCAGGGCUACACACGUGCUACAAUGGUAGGUACAGAGGGUUGCUACACAGCGAUGUGAUGCUAAUCUCAAAAAGCCUAUCGUAGUCCGGAUUGGAGUCUGCAACUCGACUCCAUGAAGUCGGAAUCGCUAGUAAUCGCAGAUCAGAAUGCUGCGGUGAAUACGUUCCCGGGCCU
Molecule: ribosomal RNA, 1355 nt
Filed under: uncultured bacterium
Lineage: Bacteria
Description: bacterial SSU rRNA
Rfam family: Bacterial small subunit ribosomal RNA
Source: RNAcentral